This 463-nucleotide ribosomal RNA is filed under the name uncultured bacterium. RNAcentral describes it as "partial 16S ribosomal RNA". It matches the Rfam family "Bacterial small subunit ribosomal RNA", at positions 28 to 507 of the family's 1533-position model. The record is from RNAcentral.
GACGAACGCUGGCGGCGUGCUUAACACAUGCAAGUCGAACGGAAAGGCCCCUUUGGGGGUACUCGAGUGGCGAACGGGAGUAACACGUGAGUAACCUGCCCUUGACUUCGGGAUAACUUCAGGAAACUGGGGCUAAUACCGGAUAGGAAUCCUUGCUGCAUGGUGGGGGUUGGAAAGCUUCGGCGGUUUUGGAUGGACUCGCGGCUUAUCAGCUUGUUGGUGGGGUAGUGGCUUACCAAGGCUUUGACGGGUAGCCGGCCUGAGAGGGCGACCGGCCACAUUGGGACUGAGAUACGGCCCAGACUCCUACGGGAGGCAGCAGUGGGGAAUAUUGCACAAUGGGCGGAAGCCUGAUGCAGCAACGCCGCGGGCGGGAUGACGGCCUUCGGGUUGUAAACCGCUUUCAGCAGGGGCGAAGCUUGUGGUGACGGUACCUGCAGAAGAAGCACCGGCUAACUACGUG